CCGUGAAGAAAAGUUGAAAAGUACUUUGAAGAGUUAACGAGUACGUGAAACCGUUCAGAGGUAAACCUAAGAAACCCAAAAAAUCGAACGGGGAGAUUCAUCGUCAACGAAACUGGCUUCGCGUCGGUGGGCGAUAACCCCGCGGUGUGUCCUAAGCGGCACGCGCGUGCGGGCACGCUACCGAACGCCGAUGUCCGGUUUUCGUCGUCGUGCACUUCUCUCCUAGUAGAACGUCGCGACUCGCUGUGUGUCGGUCACCGACCCGGGUGCGGUUACUGUCACGUCGCCCGUAAAAACGGCGCGCGGCAAACACCCCCGGUCGCCCGACCAGCUGCCCGGCGGUAC
This 345-nucleotide ribosomal RNA is filed under the name Pseudomyrmex aff. flavicornis-a MAS-2013. RNAcentral describes it as "eukaryotic LSU rRNA". Lineage: Eukaryota; Metazoa; Arthropoda; Insecta; Hymenoptera; Formicidae. The record is from RNAcentral.